AUGGACAUGAGGGUCCCCGCUCAGCUCCUGGAGCUCCUUCUUCUCUGGCUCCCAGGUGCCAGGUGUGACAUCCAGAUGACCCAGUCUCCAACCUCCCUGUCUGCAUCUAUAGGAGAUAGUGUCACCAGCACUUGCCAGGCGAGUCAGAGCAUUAGCAAUGAGUUAGCCUGGUAUCAGCAGAAACCAGGGAAAGCGCCUAAGCUCCUGAUCUAUAGGGUAUCCAGUUUACAAAUGGGGAUCCCAUCUCGGUUCAGUGGCAGUGGAUCUGGGACAGAUUUCACUCUUACCAUCACCAGCCUGCAGCCUGAUGAUGUUGCAACUUACUACUGUCAACAGGAGUACAGUUACCCUCCCACGGUGUUACUACAAGUCAUAACAUAA
Pongo pygmaeus (Bornean orangutan) is the source of this 381-nucleotide non-coding RNA. The record is from the annotation of a RefSeq genome assembly. NCBI's taxonomy places the organism in Eukaryota, Metazoa, Chordata, Mammalia, Primates, Hominidae.